RNAcentral lists this ribosomal RNA (497 nucleotides) under uncultured bacterium. Its description in RNAcentral is "partial 16S ribosomal RNA". It matches the Rfam family "Bacterial small subunit ribosomal RNA", at positions 28 to 507 of the family's 1533-position model. The record is from RNAcentral.
GAUGAACGCUGGCGGCGUGCCUAAUACAUGCAAGUCGAGCGAACGGACGAGAAGCUUGCUUCUCUGAUGUUAGCGGCGGACGGGUGAGUAACACGUGGAUAACCUACCUAUAAGACUGGGAUAACUUCGGGAAACCGGAGCUAAUACCGGAUGAUAUUUUGAACCGCAUGGUUCAAAAGUGAAAGACGGUCUUGCUGUCACUUAUAGAUGGAUCCGCGCUGCUUUAGCUAGUUGGUAAGGUAACGGCUUACCAAGGCAACGAUGCAUAGCCGACCUGAGAGGGUGAUCGGCCACACGGGAACUGAGACACGCUCCAGACGCCUACGGGAGGCAGCAGUAGGGAAUCUUCCGCAAUGGGCGAAAGCCUGACGGAGCAACGCCGCGUGAGUGAUGAAGGUCUUCUGAUCGUAAAACUCUGUUAUGAGGUAAGAACAUAUGUGUAAGUAACUGUGCACAGCUUGACGGUACCUAAUCAGAAAGCCACGGCUAACUACGUG